Selaginella moellendorffii is the source of this 127-nucleotide long non-coding RNA. RefSeq lists it as uncharacterized. Lineage: Eukaryota; Viridiplantae; Streptophyta; Lycopodiopsida; Selaginellales; Selaginellaceae. The record is from RefSeq and is a predicted model, not a curated record. The transcript is spliced from 4 exons.
GCAAAAAUGGCGAAGAGGGGUGCCAGAAUGCUGAAACGGAUUCUACCAGCCGGUUGCUUCGACUCGACUAUGCUGCCGCGAUGCGUCCCCAUCCUGAGAAGGCUCAAAGAGGGGGUGAAGAUGCUUU